UACGUAGGUGGCGAGCGUUGUCCGGAUUUACUGGGCGUAAAGAGCGCGCAGGCGGUCGUACAAGUCGCGUGUGAAAGCCCCCGGCUCAACUGGGGAGGGUCACGCGAUACUGUUCGACUCGAAGGCAGGAGAGGGAAGUGGAAUUCCCGGUGUAGUGGUGAAAUGCGUAGAUAUCGGGGGGAACACCAGUGGCGAAGGCGACUUCCUGGCCUGUUCUUGACGCUGAGGCGCGAAAGCUAGGGUAGCAAACGGG
This 253-nucleotide ribosomal RNA is filed under the name uncultured bacterium. Its description in RNAcentral is "partial 16S ribosomal RNA". It matches the Rfam family "Bacterial small subunit ribosomal RNA", at positions 524 to 776 of the family's 1533-position model. The record is from RNAcentral.